CACGUAGGGUGCGAGCGUUGUCCGGAAUUAUUGGGCGUAAAGAGCUCGUAGGCGGUGUGUCGCGUCGGCCGUGAAAACCUGCAGCUUAACUGUGGGCUUGCGGUCGAUACGGGCAUCACUGGAGUUCGGCAGGGGAGACUGGAAUUCCUGGUGUAGCGGUGAAAUGCGCAGAUAUCAGGAGGAACACCGGUGGCGAAGGCGGCUUUCUGGCCUGUUCUUGACGCUGAGGCGCGAAAGCUAGGGGAGCAAACGGG
Molecule: ribosomal RNA, 254 nt
Filed under: uncultured bacterium
Lineage: Bacteria
Description: partial 16S ribosomal RNA
Rfam family: Bacterial small subunit ribosomal RNA
Source: RNAcentral